This 438-nucleotide unclassified non-coding RNA is filed under the name fungal sp. Its description in RNAcentral is "partial internal transcribed spacer region". The stretch from base 1 to 46 matches the Rfam family "Eukaryotic small subunit ribosomal RNA", at positions 1786 to 1831 of the family's 1831-position model. The record is from RNAcentral. Lineage: Eukaryota; Fungi.
AAGUCGUAACAAGGUCUCCGUAGGUGAACCUGCGGAGGGAUCAUUAACACGUUUCUUAAAACGUUUUCCACACCAACCAGUUGAACUUAAUGAAUAUUUUAUAACCCAUCGACCUGAUGGGAAAAAGUAAUCCUUUUAGUUUCUAUUGUGCUUGUGGAUGAGUAAAUCUUCGCGAAGAUUUGCGGUGCAAUAGAGGCGCAGUGCAAACAUUUAUUUAUUUAUUUGUUUGUGUGGAGGGAGAACUUUUCCCACUAUAUCAGGCUAAUAUUACAAAAUCCAAUAGUUCUUUCAUCACGGAGCUGGAUUUUGUAAUGAUUUUUAACCAAUUUCACCCAUUUUUACAUCUGUCCGAUAUAUAUGAUUGUAAAAGAAAUUUUACAAUCAACCAAAACUAAAUAUCUAAAAGCACAACUCUUAGCAAUGGAUAUCUAGGUUCUC